This 218-nucleotide long non-coding RNA is filed under the name Mytilus galloprovincialis (Mediterranean mussel). Lineage: Eukaryota; Metazoa; Mollusca; Bivalvia; Mytilida; Mytilidae. The record is from RNAcentral.
GUUUAUUUACUGUUUCAUUCUUCCUUUUAGUGUGGCUAUCCAACAUCAACAUCAUAAUGAUGGUCUCGACUCUUAUAAAUAUAUUUAAAAAUGCCUCAGACAAACAUUCAUUAUUAGUUCAUCUCAUUAUCUAAAAAGAGUUACAGCGGAUUCCAUUGAGUGUGUAGCCAAAGGUAAUAUCUUUGGUUAGCUUGCUUGUUAGCUGAACCGUGAAGUCU